Molecule: ribosomal RNA, 211 nt
Filed under: Pollicipes elegans
Lineage: Eukaryota; Metazoa; Arthropoda; Thecostraca; Pollicipedomorpha; Pollicipedidae
Description: partial 28S ribosomal RNA
Rfam family: Eukaryotic large subunit ribosomal RNA
Source: RNAcentral
CGACCUCGGGGGUGCUGGAUGACGCACUGAACUUAAGCAUAUCAUUAAGUGCAGGAAAAGAAACCAAAUGGGAUUCCCCCAGUAACGGCGAGUGAAGUGGGAUGAGCUCAGCACCGAAGCCGGCGGUCGAGAGGCCGUCGUGCAAUGUGGUGUUCGGGAGGGCCAUGUCCGUGGCCGGCGUCGGUCCAAAUAAAGCUGGAAAGGAGUUCCG